RNAcentral lists this ribosomal RNA (253 nucleotides) under uncultured bacterium. Its description in RNAcentral is "partial 16S ribosomal RNA". It matches the Rfam family "Bacterial small subunit ribosomal RNA", at positions 524 to 776 of the family's 1533-position model. The record is from RNAcentral.
UACGUAGGGUGCGAGCGUUAAUCGGAAUUACUGGGCGUAAAGCGUGCGUAGGCGGCAGAGCAAGUCGAGUGUGAAAGCCCCGGGCUUAACUUGGGAAUUGCGCUCGAAACUACUUUGCUGGAGUGUGGCAGAGGAAGGUGGAAUUCCACGUGUAGCGGUGAAAUGCGUAGAGAUGUGGAGGAACACCAAUGGCGAAGGCAGCCUUCUGGGCCGACACUGACGCUCAGGCACGAAAGCGUGGGGAGCAAACAGG